This 255-nucleotide ribosomal RNA is filed under the name uncultured bacterium. RNAcentral's name for it is "partial 16S ribosomal RNA". It matches the Rfam family "Bacterial small subunit ribosomal RNA", at positions 99 to 354 of the family's 1533-position model. The record is from RNAcentral.
CGGACGGGUGAGUAACGCGUGGGUAACCUGCCUCAUACAGGGGGAUAACAGUUAGAAAUGACUGCUAAUACCGCAUAAGCGCACAAAACCGCAUGGUUUGGUGUGAAAAACUGAGGUGGUAUGAGAUGGACCCGCGUCUGAUUAGCUAGUUGGAGAGGUAACGGCUCACCAAGGCAACGAUCAGUAGCCGACCUGAGAGGGUGACCGGCCACAUUGGGACUGAGACACGGCCCAAACUCCUACGGAAGGCAGCAG